AAGAAAUCAACCGAGAUUCCCCCAGUAGCGGCGAGCGAACGGGGAGGAGCCCAGAGCCUGAAUCAGUGUGUGUGUUAGUGGAAGCGUCUGGAAAGGCGCGCGAUACAGGGUGACAGCCCCGUACACAAAAAUGCACAUGCUGUGAGCUCGAUGAGUAGGGCGGGACACGUGGUAUCCUGUCUGAAUAUGGGGGGACCAUCCUCCAAGGCUAAAUACUCCUGACUGACCGAUAGUGAACCAGUACCGUGAGGGAAAGGCGAAAAGAACCCCGGCGAGGGGAGUGAAAAAGAACCUGAAACCGUGUACGUACAAGCAGUGGGAGCCUCUUUAUGGGGUGACUGCGUACCUUUUGUAUAAUGGGUCAGCGACUUAUAUUCUGUAGCAAGGUUAACCGAAUAGGGGAGCCGAAGGGAAACCGAGUCUUAACUGGGCGUUAAGUUGCAGGGUAUAGACCCGAAACCCGGUGAUCUAGCCAUGGGCAGGUUGAAGGUUGGGUAACACUAACUGGAGGACCGAACCGACUAAUGUUGAAAAAUUAGCGGAUGACUUGUGGCUGGGGGUGAAAGGCCAAUCAAACCGGGAGAUAGCUGGUUCUCCCCGAAAGCUAUUUAGGUAGCGCCUCGUGAAUUCAUCUCCGGGGGUAGAGCACUGUUUCGGCAAGGGGGUCAUCCCGACUUACCAACCCGAUGCAAACUGCGAAUACCGGAGAAUGUUAUCACGGGAGACACACGGCGGGUGCUAACGUCCGUCGUGAAGAGGGAAACAACCCAGACCGCCAGCUAAGGUCCCAAAGUCAUGGUUAAGUGGGAAACGAUGUGGGAAGGCCCAGACAGCCAGGAUGUUGGCUUAGAAGCAGCCAUCAUUUAAAGAAAGCGUAAUAGCUCACUGGUCGAGUCGGCCUGCGCGGAAGAUGUAACGGGGCUAAACCAUG
This 931-nucleotide ribosomal RNA is filed under the name Escherichia coli. RNAcentral describes it as "partial 23S ribosomal RNA". It matches the Rfam family "Bacterial large subunit ribosomal RNA", at positions 219 to 1191 of the family's 2925-position model. Lineage: Bacteria; Pseudomonadati; Pseudomonadota; Gammaproteobacteria; Enterobacterales; Enterobacteriaceae. The record is from RNAcentral.